GGGCCCUAGGCUUGUAGAGGCUGUGCUGAGGCAUGAGUUCUUAAUACAGCUUCAUCUAGAAAGCCAUAGCAGUCCAUAGCUUUACUGUAACAAAUUUGCUGAUAUUAAGUGGAUUUGAACACACAGCGGGUGUCAUAAACUUCUCCAAUUGGGUUAUACUGAACUCAUCACUUUAAUCCAACCGCUCCUAUUACCCUUCACAGUAAACACAAUCAAGAUUUGAAUCUAAACCUCUCAUUCUCCCAUCUCUGCAUGCUAUAAAUGUUUCUGAACCGACAGGCGCUCACAUGAUUGGAUGUCAUGUGCUGUAAUGUUACCGCAGUAAACAGCACCAUCUAGGGAUCCACAUUUGGAUGAUUUGUGCUUAAAGAAUAUUUGACAUGUGGAAUUAGCUGUACGUACAGAGCAAGGUAGGUGUGUGUCGUUACUAGAGCUAUGUGUGUUUUGAGUGAUCCCAGAACUGAAGUAUUUGUUUAUUAAAUCACAUUUAAAUACCCGCUUUUCCUCCAAAGAAACUCUAAGGCAGCACACAUGGUUCCCACCUCCCAUUUUAUCCUCACAACAUCCCCAGGGGGAGGUUAGACAGAGGGGGGGCAGGCUGGGCCCAAAUACCCCAGCGAGCUUUAUAAUGGAGUUGGAAGUUGAACUUGGGUCUGCCUGGUCCUGCUGCAGCACUCUGACAACUACAUCACACUGGAUCUCACUGGAUCCCUUAACAUGUUCACAACGAAUGUGUUGUCUGCUACAGUGCAUGAAAAUCAAGACUGCCACCACUGGGUGCCCCAAGCAUGAAACCCAGUUAAGCAUAAGGACUAUAGCUCAGUGCCAUGUGGACUAAGGAGUGGUGGGAGGUACCAGCUGGGGAACCUGCCCCCAGGGAAAGAAGGCUCAGAGCUCGGGCAUGGUGGUGGCAUGACGAUGCGUGGUCAGAGAGAGAAGAGGGGGCAGACUGGGAGGAGGAGAUGGCAGAAGCUGAAGAGGCAACAGGCUUUAGUGAGCAGGAAGAGGCUGGGACAGAGAGCAGUCCAGGUUCAGAGUCAGAAGCGGAGGCUGGAGGGGAGGUGGCCAGGAAGCAGAGAUGAAACAGGCUGCUGAAGAAUCCAGGGAGUCUACCCCUCCUGCUGCGACCAGCUCCAUUCCCUGUGAUUUCCCAGAACCUGCAGAGGUAUGAAGAGGGCAGAGCAGAGACAGACAAUGCAGAGAACUCUCAGGUUGCAUGGGAAGGACCCAGGAGUGAAGGAGACUUAGGGAGUUGUGGGGAAGUGGGGACUUUCAAUCCUUGCAACUACCUCAUUGGGGCAGGAUCUUCAAGGAAGUGUUGUUAUCCUCACCAGGCCAGGCUUCCUGAGCUGCUUGUUUCUUUGAAUAAAGAGUUAGCUUCACUGACAUGGGCGGUUUUUAUUGGCGACCUACUCCUGACAUUCAGCGGCAGAGCAACAUGCUUUGAAUGGGAAAGGUCCCAUGUCCAGCCACUUGCUUCUGCAGGUAGGGCUGGGAAUGACCUCCGCCUGAGAGCUUGCAGGGCCACUUACACUUACACAAUGUAGACCACUGCUAGGAAACCUCCGACUUGCAGGCCUGAUUAGGCCCAAGACCUUCACAUUUGGCCUGUGAGGUACACACCUGUACACACCCUGCUGUCAUAUGAUGUCAGGCCCUGGACUAGCAAGCCCCAAAGGAAGAAUUGGGAACACACUAAGGGCACUCCUGCCGCUUUAAUUCAGUGCUUUUCGCAUAGCCCUGCCUACUGACCAGGAAAGACACCAAACGCACUCCUGAGUCUUCCUUUGCGGCCAUGGCUUUAAAUGUGAAUCACCUGGUGUCGUAUGAUGUCAGGGGAUUAGCAUGUGUGUGGUCCUGCCCAGUGUCAAGGGGGCCCACCCCUGGCAUUGGCAGUACUGAGCUGGCUAGACCAAAGGAGUAAUUUGGCAGAAGGAUGUGUUUCUGGAUAUUUGAACUCAAGCCUGAAUCCCAUGCCCUGUGUGCACAGUGCUUGUGGUUACAAACAGGGUAUGUAAGAAGCAACUAUGAUAUAAACACUUUGAAUAUGCUAAUUGCCACGUUGCUCUGUAGGGAUUAACCUUUUGCGCCCUGGAAUAAUAGGCGAUUCCAAUCUGUGAAGCUGAAUGCUGGCUGAGGAUUGAAUGGCCAUUCAUGUCUGCUCCGCGAUGAUACGAAAUUCAUUUCCAAAGCUUCUUGAGGAUACAAGUACUAUUCUCUGAAAUUUUCCCAGUAAAGUAAAAUCCUCCUAAAAUGAUUAGCUUUCCGAUUAAUAACCUUGUAAUCAUUUCACACGGAAAGGGAUUACAAUUGCAAGCCUCAUCCUCUACUAUAUUAUUUACCUAAAAAAAAAAAAAAAAAGCUCGGCUUUAAUUAUGCUGGAUAUUAUUGCCCCUCAUUUUCAGGGCUGUUAAAUUGUUUCAUCAAAUUAAGUCCCCAUAAUAAGUAAGGAGCAGAAAAAGUUUAUCUAUAUUGCUUGUAGUUUAUCUAUGCUGCUCACUUAAAUGCAGCAUAUGUUAAAUGUUUCAAAGCCUUGACACCUCUGCUUUAGUUUCGCUGCUCUGCUUUCCAAUCAGGUGUUGAUCAUCUACUUUUAAUACACUGGAGCACAUCUAAGCCACGGCUGGAAACUUUAAUGCUAAAUUUUAUGUAAACAACUAACCCGCAGAAGGGUUAUGUUCACCAUUUGCGGGAGAAAUACUGUGCUGGGAUAUUGAAUUUCAAAGCUAGCUGGAUUUCCAGCAGAUGUGUUUGAUGUCUGUCAAACUCUUUGCACUGCUUCAGUAGAACAGCAUUCAUUAACGUAAAUGGCAUGCAGUAAAAAGUGCUUUUCUGUGCACAUUUAAUAUGUAGCAUGUCUGGCUGCAUUUUAACAUAAGGGCAAUCUAUCCUAGUAUUCAAAGCCAUUUUAGCUGGUGAUACUGUCCAUGAUAAGACCCGCCCGCCCCCCCAAAUGGCCCUAAACAACCGCUGAGCCAGCAGUUCUCAGAAAUAUUAUUUUAAAAAAAAUGAAAAACCAAAGAUUUUUCUUUCCGUAACCUCCCUUCCUCAUAUUCUCUGAAUGCGCUUCUCUUUUUAUUUUCUGUGCCCAUCUUGCCACAUCCUGGAAUAGCAUGAGGCCAAUGUCAUGCCAAACUCUAAACUGAUGCCAGAAACUGUAUUUUAAUAUUCUGCUGGAAGCUGCCCAGAGUGGCUGGGGAAACCCAGUCAGAUGGGUGGGGUAUAAAUAAUAAUUUAUUUAUUUAUUUUAUUAUCAUUAUUAUCAUCAUCUGAAUCCUCAGGGGAUGAACCAGUCACCCCAUGAGCCAAGGACCUUGAGGAGCAGGCAGGACCUCUAUAUCCAAUACAGUCAUACCGGGUUAAAUGUGCUUCAGGUUGAGCGUUUUCAGGUUACGCUCCACAGCCACUCACGCAUGCGCAGACGCUCAAAAUUAUGUCACGCGCAUGCGCAGAAGCAGCAAAUUGCGGCCUGCGCAUGCGCAGACACUGGUUGCGUUCGCUUCAGGAUGUGAAAGGGGCUCCGGAAUGGAUCCCGUUCGCACCCAGAGGUACCACUGUACUGAGGAUCCCCUUGAGGGGACCUCUGGGUUCACACCUGAUGAAGGACCCCUGGAGCUAUCAGAGGAGGAGGUGGAGCAGCCCCCAGUCCUUGAGAGCAGCAGUGCUAAAAGCUCCCAGUACAGGCCAAAGAGUGAUGGCACAGUAUGUGUGUAUGGACCCAGAAUAGUCAGUCCACUUGUGAUUUGGGGGUCUACUUAUGAGUUAGCAAAUCCUAAUAGUCUUUCACUAACCAGCAGCUGUAGUUAGGGUGCAGUUUAGGCAGCCAGUGUAUAUAAGCCUUCCAGUUGCUGAAAACAGCACUGGUUUUUGUCUUCUCAUUCUAGCUCUGAUGGCUUGCUGAACUUCUUGUGAUAGGGACCUUGGACUGCUUCCUAACCUUCUUGGAGCUUGGAGAGCUAACUAACCCUUGAAAAUAUAGGGCUUUUGUACUAAUUUUAGCUAACACAUUCUAAUGGAGAAGGGAAGGGGGCUAUGAGAUAAGCAGUUCCUAUAAUUCCAGUAUUCCUGUUGUUUCUUCCUAGAGCAUGGGUAGGCAAACUAAGGCCUGGGGGCCGGAUCUGGCCCAAUCGCCUUCUAAAUCCGGCCCACAGAUGGUCCGGGAAUCAGCCUGUUUUUACGCAAGUAGAAUGCGUCCUUUUAUUUAAAAUGCAUCUCUGGGUUAUUUGUGGGGCAUAGGAAUUCAUUCUUCUUUUUUCCAAAAUAUAGUCCGGCCCCCCACAAGGGGGACAGUGGACCGGCCCCCUGCUGAAAAAGUUUGCUGACCCCUGUCCUAGAGCUUCUUGACUAAUUCCCAUUCUGUUUAUACUGCUUAAUUAAAAGUUGAAGGAAUAUAAUCCUAGUGAUCAAUGACUAAACUGGUUAUCUUUGUUUGCUUUGUGUCUUAAAGUUGUCUUACCAUUUUGUCUGUGCAGAAACCAUUCCUUAGCAGGAGGUGUUGAUUAGAUUUUCUGGGUAACUAGAUUACAGGGGUGGGGGCUGCUUCGUUUUCAACACCAAAGUGACCUCUCCAGGGCACUAGCCCAGGCACUGUGGAUUACUUGUGCUGAUCUUUAUACAAGGUAUUAGAAGCUCAAGACAUUUCUUCAGUGCCUUCCAGGACACGUUUAAGACAAGACUGGUACCAGAGUAAAAAAAAAAAGUUCAUAAUGGGGAUCUCAUGUCAUAUUAAGUUAUGCCAACCUUUUUAACUCAUGCCAUGAUCUAUAGUAAUAAGACACAGAAAAAGUUCAGAUUGACACACGCCUAUUCACAAUCGUACCAGAUGCACAUUUAAGGCAAGGAGCGCUUCCUCCCACUGGAAAAAGAUUGUAAAAACAAAACAAAAAAUGCAUUUAAUUGUUUCCAGAAAGUACAGCCUGAGAUAGGUUGGCAGGAAUGGUGCUCCAAUGAUGAAAAGUGCCACAUUGGUAACAGUUGGUCUGUCCAGGUGUAUUAUUUUUAGUUUCUACUGAAUUAUAUGCAUAUUUUAUUUUAUUUAUUUAUUUAGAAGAUUUUUAAACCACUUGAUCAAAGCUCUCUAAAUGGUGUGCAAAUAAAACUGUAAAUAAAGCACUGCUAAAACACACAAAGCAAUUAAAAACUAAUAUACAUAGAUGCUUCCAGCAUUUUGUUUGUGGAGCCUUUCCUAACCACCACCACCCCACAUUAUUUUAGAUUGAAUUUAUUUAAUGUUGACCUCAUUGUUCAAAUGGCAGACCACCAAACAAAAGGGAAAAGAAGGUAAUAGAGAGUGAAAUCACAGUGUGCACCAGGACUUCUCAACAGCUAGAAAUGAUCCAUUCUUUCCACUAUCCACCUUUGCGCCAACAUUCGUAAAUCAAGCAUGCUUAUUACCAAUGAGCCUUCCUACAGACGAUCUCUCUGAGUCUUCUCCCCACUGCCACCAUUUGUGACAGGUUGAAAAAUAAAACACAACAGUUUGGAGAAUAGCAAACAGCUGAAUUAUUUUCCUCCCCCCACUCCUACUCUCUUACGGACAUUACACUGAAAGCAAGGACAAUGAGAUUUAUAACCAGAAAUAAAAGAAAUUUAAGAAGCAUAAUCUAAAAUUGAUUUUAAUGCACUUCCUGAUCAGAUACCAUCAACCCUGGCUUCCAACUGAAUGGGAUAAUUUCAUUUUUUUGGACACGGAAAAUAGAUACUUGAAUACAAAUGAUGCUUAUGGAUGAGUUGUCAUCAGGCACACCUUAACUUUCAAAAAUAGAUUACUUGACUCCUUGACAAUUUAUGGUUUGGGCACUUAUUGCUAUUUCCGUCUCUAAAUAGUAGCUCUUAAAGACAAAUGUUUACAGAUUUUGCCCAAGAGAACUGAAGAGGGGGAAAUAAGCCUCUUUCAGGCAGCACAUUUACACUGAAGGAUUUCAUGACUAAAAGGGUCUAGCGUUUAGCCUCUGUAGAAGAUAACCUUUUUCUUGGGAGGAACCUGUAGAAUGGAUCUUAGAAGGCACUGUUUCAUUAAAACCUCACAUGAUUUAUGCUAAAUGCUCAGUGGUGUGGCGUUUGCUAUCUCUGAGUGCCAGAUAGAAUCAUGUGCCUAUAUUAGAGAAUUGUGUGCAGGAGGGAAAAUGACUAGCAUUGUGCUUCCCUUGCCUGCCCUUCAAACAGAGGUGUUUAAAUUGUUGCAUGGUUUUAAACAAUUAUUUUCACAGAUAUAACAGUCUCUCUAUCCUUGACCAUUUUCUAUAGCUUAGGUUGCAAUUCAGGUGCAUAUCAAAAAAUUUAUUUGCACAAUUAAAGCGGAUUUACUGUAUUUUUCGCCCUAUAGGGCGCACUGGCCCAUAGGACGCACCUAGUUUUUUGGGGGGGGGAAAUGAAUAAAAAAAAAUAUUCCCCCCCCCCCCAGCCGCGGGGCUGGGGCAGGGGAAGCCCGAGCUUCCCCAGCCCCCAGAACAGGCUGCUAUCCGCAAGGCUUGCGGACACCUGCCCGAAGCACGGGGUGCUCUCUGGAGGGAGCCCCGUGCUUCGGGCUGCAGGCUGCUGCCCGCAAGCCUUGCGAGCCCGCGGGAACUCCCGCCGGGCUUGCAAGGCUUGCGGAUAGCUUCCUGAAGCCUGGAGAGCGAGAGGGGUCGGUGCGCACCGAUGCCUCUCGCUCUCCAGGCUUCAGUGAAAGCCUGCAUUCGCCCCAUAGGACGCACACACAUUUCCCCUUCAUUUUUGGAGGGGAAAAAGUGCGUACUAUAGGGAGAAAAAUACGGUAAGUCUUCUGUUGCCAUAGAACAACAAUUCCGUUGUUGUUGUUGUUGUUGUUGUUGUUGUUGUUGUUAAAAUCAGGGCUUUUGAAUUGGGAAGUGAUGUGGAACUGUGGUGAAAAGUGUGGAAUAAAUGAAUGAUUAAUGGAAAGUUGUAUAAACACUCCACAAGCAAAUAAGGAUAAAUGCAGAAUGAAUGCUCAUUAUCAUAUAACUGCUCCAUAAACCAUUCAGAAAGAAUGCUAAAUAAAAACUGGACAUAAGCUUUGUGCAAGCAAGUCAAGAUGAACGCUCAAUUAACAGCGUCCUCUGGAGAUGCCCAUAUUUAGACAUACAAGCCCCCAAAGUUUAAGAAAUCUGAUACAUAUGGUGUUUGAUAUUUUUGUUUAUCUGUUUAAUUAUUUAUUGCAAAAUAUUUACAGGCUGCCUUUCCAAGUACAACAGUUUCACAUAGUGUUUAUUUAUGUCUAAGGAAAUUCAGCAGCUACCUUCCCAAUUGUUUUAAAGUAUUGAAAAUAUAUACAUAUAGACUUUCAUCAUAUUGAGGAAAGGAAGAAGGUUCACCAGAAUUCUCUGUCAUACUCUGGUCUAGUCUACCACUGACAAGUGGAAGAAUCCCUGAAGUAACUCUAUUGCCCAGAAAACAUGGUCCCACCACUAAGCCCUUCCUGAUCAAGGAAGUAGAAGAUUGGGUUAGUAUCUGGACUAAUUCUUGUUAAAAGGAGGAUGUUUAUCAAACAAUGUGGCAUUGAUUAAUGCUAGCUGACUGUGUAUAUUAUGUAGUGAUUUAUUAAUUUUGUUGUCGUUUAGUCAUGUCCGACUCUUCGUGACCCCAUGGACCAGAGCACGCCAGGCACUCCUGUCUUCCACUGCCUCCCACAGUUUGGUCAAACUCAUGCUGGUAGCUUCGAGAACACCGUCCAACCAUCUCGUCCUCUGUCGUCCCCUUCUCCUUGUGCCCUCCAUCUUUCCAAACAUCAGGGUCUUUUCCAGGGAGUCUUCUCUUCUCAUGAGGUGGCCAAAGUAUUGGAGCCUCAGCUUCAGGAUCUGUCCUUCCAGUGAGCACUCAGGGCUGAUUUCCUUCAGAAUGGAGAGGUUUGAUCUUCUUGCAGUCCAUAGGACUCUCAAGAGUCUCCUCCAGCAGCACUAAUGAUAUUUGAAAUGGG
Molecule: long non-coding RNA, 7915 nt
Filed under: Podarcis lilfordi (Lilford's wall lizard)
Lineage: Eukaryota; Metazoa; Chordata; Lepidosauria; Squamata; Lacertidae
Source: RNAcentral